AAGGGUUUAGGGGUGGAUUAUUAGGUUGUUUAAGAGAGCAACUAAUGAAGAAAUAUUUAGCUGGAUUGAUGCAAAUAUUGGAAAAGAUGUUAAGAGCAGCAAAUUCAUACGUGCCUUGGUGACCGCCUUAGUGGAAAGUCAAGCUAUGACUUCCAAUGAUGGUUCCUCAAUCCGUG
Penaeus monodon (black tiger shrimp) is the source of this 176-nucleotide long non-coding RNA. RefSeq lists it as uncharacterized. The transcript is spliced from 3 exons. The record is from RefSeq and is a predicted model, not a curated record. NCBI's taxonomy places the organism in Eukaryota, Metazoa, Arthropoda, Malacostraca, Decapoda, Penaeidae.